AAUAGAUACCCCGGUAGUCCACGCCGUAAACGUUGGGCGCUAGGUGUGGGGCUCAUUCCACGAGUUCCGUGCCGCAGCUAACGCAUUAAGCGCCCCGCCUGGGGAGUACGGCCGCAAGGCUAAAACUCAAAGGAAUUGACGGGGCCCGCACAAGCGGCGGAGCAUGUUGCUUAAUUCGAUGCAACGCGAAGAACCUUACCUAGGCUUGACAUGCACGGAAAUCUCGCAGAGAUGCGGGGUCCGUAAGGGCCGUGCACAGGUGGUGCAUGGUUGUCGUCAGCUCGUGUCGUGAGAUGUUGGGUUAAGUCCCGCAACGAGCGCAACCCUCGUUCUAUGUUGCCAGCACGUCAUGGUGGGGACUCAUAGGAGACUGCCGGGGUCAACUCGGAGGAAGGUGGGGAUGACGUCAAAUCAUCAUGCCCCUUAUGUCUAGGGCUGCGAACAUGCUACAAUGGCCGGUACAAAGGGCUGCGAUACUGUGAGGUGGAGCGAAUCCCAAAAAGCCGGUCUCAGUUCGGAUUGGGGUCG
RNAcentral lists this ribosomal RNA (528 nucleotides) under uncultured bacterium. RNAcentral's name for it is "bacterial SSU rRNA". It matches the Rfam family "Bacterial small subunit ribosomal RNA", at positions 777 to 1306 of the family's 1533-position model. The record is from RNAcentral.